UUUUUUUUUUUUCCGCCUUUCGAUUUUUUGUUCAUGAUAUAUUACAAUUAAUGUGUUAGAUUUCUAGGGUUUUUAAUCGUUAUAGUCUUGUUUAUAAUCAGAUAUACUCAAUUUGAACUGAUUUAUUCAAUUUGAGCUUCAUUUUUUAGAUUCAAUGACUGUUGUCUGUGAAGAACUGCGUUUUUUGUAUUUUUUUCAUUUUAAUCGAUUUGAUUUGAUUUAUAGAUGAUAAUGUGUUCAAAAUUUAGGGUUUGAUUCCUUAUAUUGUUGUUUAUCAGAAAAUGUACUCAAUUGGAUGUAAUUUAUUUGCUUGGAGGUGGAUUUUUUAGUUAAACUAGCUGAUGUAAGAUGGCUCUGUG
RNAcentral lists this long non-coding RNA (359 nucleotides) under Amborella trichopoda. Its description in RNAcentral is "long non-coding RNA (ATRI_LNC001325)". Lineage: Eukaryota; Viridiplantae; Streptophyta; Magnoliopsida; Amborellales; Amborellaceae. The record is from RNAcentral.